Heterocephalus glaber (naked mole-rat) is the source of this 497-nucleotide long non-coding RNA. Lineage: Eukaryota; Metazoa; Chordata; Mammalia; Rodentia; Bathyergidae. The record is from Ensembl.
CUGGACGUGCUCUUUAUUCCCAUAAGUUCAUAUUUUCAGGUUGGCACCUGAGCCGGUUAAUCUUCACUGUCACCUGGACUUGGUGAAGAGCAAGAGGAACUAUGGAUCAGGAGCCACACUUUGGUCCACCAUGGCCAUCCGCCAUGAUGUGUCUCCCUUGGAGCAGCUGACCAUGGACUGAACCCUCUGAAACCAAACCUGCCGGGAUUUACAAAAGGCAGAAUUGUCAAGUGUUCUGCGGUGACACAGGCUGAGUCCCCCCGCCCCCAUCCUACAUCCCAACGACAGCCUGCGGGCCCCUCCGCGGACACCAGAGGCCUCCAGCCCGCAGGGGUGAGGCAGGAACCGAGCCCGUGCCUCAGUGUCUCCUCGCUGUUCACACCCGGCGUCACCUUUGGGGUGUGACGCCCGGGCCCCCGCCUCCGGAAGUGACAGAUGGAGAACGCGAUCCCAGCCUCGAGCGCCUCCAGCCCCAUCCAGCGCCCAGUCCGGACUUC